Molecule: ribosomal RNA, 553 nt
Filed under: uncultured bacterium
Lineage: Bacteria
Description: partial 16S ribosomal RNA
Rfam family: Bacterial small subunit ribosomal RNA
Source: RNAcentral
UGGGGAAUAUUGCACAAUGGGCGCAAGCCUGAUGCAGCCAUGCCGCGUGUGUGAAGAAGGCCUUCGGGUUGUAAAGCACUUUCAGCGAGGAGGAAGGUGGUGGACUUAAUACGUUCAUCAAUUGACGUUACUCGCAGAAGAAGCACCGGCUAACUCCGUGCCAGCAGCCGCGGUAAUACGGAGGGUGCAAGCGUUAAUCGGAAUUACUGGGCGUAAAGCGCACGCAGGCGGUUUGUUAAGUCAGAUGUGAAAUCCCCGGGCUCAACCUGGGAACUGCAUUUGAAACUGGCAAGCUAGAGUCUCGUAGAGGGGGGUAGAAUUCCAGGUGUAGCGGUGAAAUGCGUAGAGAUCUGGAGGAAUACCGGUGGCGAAGGCGGCCCCCUGGACGAAGACUGACGCUCAGGUGCGAAAGCGUGGGGAGCAAACAGAUUAGAUACCCUGGUAGUCAGCGCUGUAAACGAUGUCGAUUUUGGAGGUUGUGCCCUGAGGCGUGGNUUCCGGAGCUAACGCGUUAAAUCGACCGCCUGGGGAGUACGGCCNCAAGGUUAAAACU